CCUACGGGUGGCAGCAGUGAGGAAUAUUGGUCAAUGGGCGCGAGCCUGAACCAGCCAAGUAGCGUGAAGGAUGACUGCCCUACGGGUUGUAAACCUCUUUUGUAAAGGAAUAAAGUGAGGCACGUGUGCCUUUUUGUAUGUAUUUUAUGAAUAAGGAUCGGCUAACUCCGUGCCUGCAGCCGCGGUAAUACGGAGGAUCCGAGCGUUAUCCGGAUUUAUUGGGUUUAAAGGGAGCGUAGAUGGGUUGUUAAGGCAGGUGUUAAAGUGUGCGGAUCAAACAUAAAAUUGCCAUUGAGACUGGCAGCCUUGAGUACGGUUGAGGUAGGCGGAAUUCGUGGUGUAGCGGUGAAAUGCUGAGAUAUCACGAAGAACUCCGAUUGCGAAGGCAGCCUACUAAACUGCCACUGACAUUGAUGCUCGAAAGUGUGGGUAUCAAACAGGAUUAGAUACCCCGGUAGUC
Molecule: ribosomal RNA, 460 nt
Filed under: uncultured bacterium
Lineage: Bacteria
Description: partial 16S ribosomal RNA
Rfam family: Bacterial small subunit ribosomal RNA
Source: RNAcentral